Molecule: ribosomal RNA, 447 nt
Filed under: uncultured bacterium
Lineage: Bacteria
Description: partial 16S ribosomal RNA
Rfam family: Bacterial small subunit ribosomal RNA
Source: RNAcentral
GCCAGACUCCUACGGGAGGCAGCAGUGGGGAAUAUUGCACAAUGGGGGAAACCCCGAUGCAGCGACGCCGCGUGGGUGAAGAAGUCAUUCGUGACGUAAAGCCCUAUCAGCAGGGAAGAAAAUGACGGUACCUGACUAAGAAGCCCCGGCUAACUACGUGCCAGCAGCCGCGGUAAUACGUAGGGGGCAAGCGUUAUCCGGAUUUACUGGGUGUAAAGGGAGCGUAGACGGCGGCGCAAGUCCGGAGUGAAAGCCCACGGCCCAACCGUGGGACUGCUCUGGAAACUGUGCGGCUUGAGUGCGGGAGGGGCAGGCGGAAUUCCUAGUGUAGCGGUGAAAUGCGUAGAUAUUAGGAGGAACACCGGUGGCGAAGGCGGCCUGCUGGACUGUGACUGACGUUGAGGCCCGAAGGCGUGGGGAGCAAACAGGAUUAGAUACCCCGGUAAA